CAUGACAAGUCAACUCUUCAAGAGCCCAAAUAAACAGCAAAGAGGACAAAGGAAAACCUUCUCUUGUCCCCUUCUAGAUAUCACUUAGAUCACCAUUAAUCAUAAUUGGUCCCCUCAAGCUAGCUUCUGGGUGGAUGUGGGCUAUACUGUAGGCACUGCAACCAUCACCCCUGUGGACCUCAUGGCCCACUCUUUAUUUAACAAAACAAGACACUUCAAAAUAUAGAGGAUUUUAGUGUCUUACAUGAAUAGGGAAAGACAACACAGAGAGUGUCAAGGGAAAAAAAAAACUUUAAAUCCCUCCUUUAACUUUAUUUAACUUUCUCCCUAUUUACUCAAUGAUACAAGAUAUCGCUUUCCUGUCUUUUAGUCACCUCUCAUCCAAAAUCUGAUAUUUCUGAUCUGUUCUAUUUCUAGAACAGAUGGGAAAUGGAAUUUCACUUCAGAUACUUCAGGAAUUUUAAAAUCAGCUCAGAUAUAAGAUGUAUAAACAAAGAUUUAAAAUAAAAGAAAAUCACAAAGAGGCCCUAGUCUUAACUUGAGGGUUCAAGGGACUGAUUGCCUCCAUAGCUAUGGAUGACCUUGCCCAAGAGACUUUGGAGGAGAGACCAUCUUGAAGGACAGCAAAAGUUCCCUGGUUGUUGAUAUAUCUUCAUCUAUUUUCUGGAUGAGUCCUGACAGGAAGGAUAACCACUAGAGAACAGGGCCUCCAAGGGUGUAUCUGUGUAGGUCAGUGGGUCAAGGGUCACGGUAUCAGGCUGUAGUAGCACACUGCCGGCUGGUGAUCUGUGGGUCUUUCCUGCUUACUGCAUUACUUCAUUAUUGGCUCGGAUGUGGAUGAUCUAAUAUAAGCUCACCUAGAGAAAAUGGCAACUUGAGAGGGGGGUGAAUAACUUCUAUCCAAUCAGAAUACUGUUACUGUGCUACCUUUUAUCUGCUUGUGUAAAACUGUAUAAAAAAUAAAGUUCUCUACGAAGUUGGGAGAGACAUCUUAGAGACAUCUUAGAGACAUCUUGGGAGACAUCAUGAAACAGAGCAAAAGCCUGGACCUCUGAUUUACAACAUCUGGCGCCCGAAGCAGGGACACCCUCCAUGGGGAGCAGCAUCCUUAACAUCCUUAUCAUCGUCUGGAAUAGACCCCUGACGUGCCUUUCAUCCUUCGGGAUCCCUAGUGACUUCCCAGCAAGUCUCCGGGAAGCUUAGACUGAAGUGCCCGCUGAGUUUGGAGCACCGGGAUGAAACCUAUCCAUGGAGCUAUUAUAGACAAGGAGACCAUCUGAUUGGUGUAGUCCUCUGUGCCACGAGAAUAUUGCGUGAAAUGUUGUCUUUCAACAUGGCUCCAAAUAAAAAGUCUCACUCGUAAGUCA
Molecule: long non-coding RNA, 1367 nt
Organism: Pantherophis guttatus
Lineage: Eukaryota; Metazoa; Chordata; Lepidosauria; Squamata; Colubridae
Source: RefSeq, a predicted model, not a curated record